RNAcentral lists this ribosomal RNA (941 nucleotides) under uncultured archaeon. RNAcentral describes it as "bacterial SSU rRNA". It matches the Rfam family "Archaeal small subunit ribosomal RNA", at positions 1 to 922 of the family's 1478-position model. The record is from RNAcentral.
UCCGGUUGAUCCUGCCGGACCCGACUGCUAUCGGGGUGAGACUAAGCCAUGCGAGUCGUGCGCCCUCGGGCACGCGAGGGCGCGGCGCACGGCUCAGUAACACGUAGCUAACCUGCCCUGAGGAGGGGGAUACCCCCGGGAAACUGGGGCUAAUCCUCCAUAGGUCUGGAUACCUGGAAUGGGUUCAGGCUCAAAUGGGUCUGCGCGCAUCCUGCGCAGGUCCGCCUCAGGAUGGGGCUGCGGCCCAUCAGGUAGUUGGCGGGGUAAAGGCCCACCAAGCCGAUAACGGGUGCGGGCUCUGGAAGGAGGAGCCCGGAGAUGGGCACUGAGACAAGGGCCCAGGUCCUACGGGGCGCAGCAGGCGCGAAACCUCCACAAUGCGGGAAACCGCGAUGGGGUUACCCCGAGUGUCGCCCGCUGAGGGCGACUUUUCUGGGGUCUAAAAAGCCCCAGGAAUAAGGGGAGGGCAAGUCUGGUGUCAGCCGCCGCGGUAAUACCAGCUCCCCGAGUGGUCGGGACGUUUAUUGGGCCCAAAGCGCCCGUAGCCGGCCCGGUGUGUCUCCCGUCAAAUCCGCCGGCUCAACCGGCGGACCGCGGGGGAUACUAUCGGGCUAGGGGGCGGGAGAGGUCGGGGGUACUCCCGGGGUAGGGGUAAAAUCCUCUGAUCCCGGGAAGACCACCGGUGGCGAAGGCGUCCGGCCAGAACGCGCCCGACGGUGAGGGGCGAAAGCUGGGGGAGCGAACCGGAUUAGAUACCCGGGUAGUCCCAGCUGUAAACGAUGCGGGCUAGGUGCUGGAGGGGCUACGGGCCCCUCCAGUGCCGCAGGGAAGCCGUUAAGCCCGCCGCCUGGGGAGUACGGCCGCAAGGCUGAAACUUAAAGGAAUUGGCGGGGGGGCACACAAGGGGUGAAGCCUGCGGUUCAAUUGGAGUCAACGCCGGG